Molecule: ribosomal RNA, 915 nt
Filed under: Triticum aestivum (bread wheat)
Lineage: Eukaryota; Viridiplantae; Streptophyta; Magnoliopsida; Poales; Poaceae
Description: partial small subunit ribosomal RNA
Source: RNAcentral
AUGCGUGUUGGUCGUGUGCGGAACUGCACAUGCGCGCAUAGCCGGCUGCUUGGCCAGCCUUGGCCGGCUUCCCACCACGGCGUAUACUGGAUCAGGCCGCCCGGCUCCGACCUCGUCCAACUGCGUUCUGCUUCAGCUGUUGCUCCGCGGCCCGGCUGUUGUGCCGUCUGUCCGCCUGGCCUCGGUCCUCGCUGGCUGCACCUUACCUGUCGCACGCGCCCAGCCUGCUGUGCUCCUUAUGCGGUCGCCGACUGCUCCAUUCGCGCGCGCUUGUCGUCCCGGCCGGCUGCUGCUACGCACCCGCAUCCGUGCGCCUCCGCGUCGCGCGCCUGGCGAUGGGCCUGGUCGCCGUGCCCCUCCGCCUGCGUGCUAGCUCGCCCAGACCGCCUCCCGCGUGUCAUCCGUCGCCCCCGCCUCGCUCCUCCGCGGCUCCGACGGGCUGGCCGGCUUCCCCGAGCUCGAGCCCAGCUCUCCUUCCCUGCGCGCUGGGCCCGGCCGCACCUCGAGCGCCGCUGCCAGGCGGCCAACUGGGCGGGCCGCCUCACGCCGCGCCGGCUGUCACCUCGGCCGCCUGCACCGCUUGCUCCGACCGCCGCCCAUGCCGGUUGCCGCCCCGGCCGCCAUCUUCGCGCCGGCCACCCGCGCCUCCUCCGCCUCGCCAACCCGGCCGCCCCACUCCACCGCCGGGGCUGCACGCUGCAGCUGGCCCAGCCCCCUCCGCGCUGGCCCCGCCAGGCGCCGCGCCUCCGGCCGGCUCCGCCAACCCGGUCGCCGGCUUCAGCCUGCACCCGGCGCGCGCUGCUCGCUGCUGCCGCCUUCUGUGGGCAAAGAAAAGAAAGGAAGUCAGACUCCGGCUGCUGGCUCCAGAAAAAAACCGAGAUGCCGGGUGGAGAAAAGUCAGUGGUUGGAUGCUAG